Non-coding RNA from Pelobates cultripes (western spadefoot toad), 109 nucleotides. The record is from the annotation of a GenBank genome assembly. Lineage: Eukaryota; Metazoa; Chordata; Amphibia; Anura; Pelobatidae.
ACCUACGGCCAUACCAGUCUGAAAGUGCCUGAUCUCAUCAGAUCUCAGAAUCCAUCUAGACUUGGGCCUGGUUAGUACUUGUAUGGGGGAACCUCAGGUGCCGUAAGCU